AUUGAACGCUGGCGGCAUGCCUUACACAUGCAAGUCGAACGGCAGCACGGGUGCUUGCACCUGGUGGCGAGUGGCGAACGGGUGAGUAAUACAUCGGAACGCACCUUAUCGUGGGGGAUAACGCAGCGAAAGCUGUGCUAAUACCGCAUACGCCCUGAGGGGGAAAGCGGGGGAUCGCAAGACCUCGCGCGAUUAGAGCGGCCGAUGCCUGAUUAGCUAGUUGGUGGGGUAAAGGCCCACCAAGGCGACGAUCAGUAGCUGGUCUGAGAGGACGAUCAGCCACACUGGGACUGAGACACGGCCCAGACUCCUACGGGAGGCAGCAGUGGGGAAUUUUGGACAAUGGGGGCAACCCUGAUCCAGCAAUGCCGCGUGAGUGAAGAAGGCCUUCGGGUUGUAAAGCUCUUUUGUCAGGGAAGAAACACCGGCUCUAACACAGUCCGGGAAUGACGGUACCUGAAGAAUAAGCACCGGCUAACUACGUGCCAGCCGCCGCAGUAA
This 501-nucleotide ribosomal RNA is filed under the name uncultured bacterium. RNAcentral describes it as "partial 16S ribosomal RNA". It matches the Rfam family "Bacterial small subunit ribosomal RNA", at positions 29 to 523 of the family's 1533-position model. The record is from RNAcentral.